UACGAAGGGGGCUAGCGUUGCUCGGAAUCACUGGGCGUAAAGGGCGCGUAGGCGGCGUUUUAAGUCGGGGGUGAAAGCCUGUGGCUCAACCACAGAAUGGCCUUCGAUACUGGGACGCUUGAGUAUGGUAGAGGUUGGUGGAACUGCGAGUGUAGAGGUGAAAUUCGUAGAUAUUCGCAAGAACACCGGUGGCGAAGGCGGCCAACUGGACCAUUACUGACGCUGAGGCGCGAAAGCCAGGGGAGCAAACGGG
RNAcentral lists this ribosomal RNA (253 nucleotides) under uncultured bacterium. RNAcentral's name for it is "partial 16S ribosomal RNA". It matches the Rfam family "Bacterial small subunit ribosomal RNA", at positions 524 to 776 of the family's 1533-position model. The record is from RNAcentral.